RNAcentral lists this ribosomal RNA (428 nucleotides) under uncultured Acinetobacter sp. RNAcentral describes it as "bacterial SSU rRNA". It matches the Rfam family "Bacterial small subunit ribosomal RNA", at positions 355 to 774 of the family's 1533-position model. Lineage: Bacteria; Pseudomonadati; Pseudomonadota; Gammaproteobacteria; Moraxellales; Moraxellaceae. The record is from RNAcentral.
UGGGGAAUAUUGGACAAUGGGGGAACCGUGCAUCCAGCCAUGCCGCGUGUGUGAAGAAGGCCUUAUGGUUGUAAAGCACUUUAAGCGAGGAGGAGGCUCUUUUGGUUAAUACCCAAGAUGAGUGGACGUUACUCGCAGAAUAAGCACCGGCUAACUCUGUGCCAGCAGCCGCGGUAAUACAGAGGGUGCGAGCGUUAAUCGGAUUUACUGGGCGUAAAGCGUGCGUAGGCGGCUUUUUAAGCGAUGUGAAUCCGAACCGCGUAUACUUGGGAAUUGCAUUCGAUACUGGGAAGCUAGAGUAUGGGAGAGGAUGGUAGAAUUCCAGGUGUAGCGGUGAAAUGCGUAGAGAUCUUGGAGGAAUACCGAUGGCGAAGGCAGCCAUCUGGCCUAAUACUGACGCUGAGGUACGAAAGCAUGGGGAGCAAACA